This is a long non-coding RNA of Spinacia oleracea (spinach), 2110 nucleotides long. RefSeq lists it as uncharacterized. Lineage: Eukaryota; Viridiplantae; Streptophyta; Magnoliopsida; Caryophyllales; Amaranthaceae. The transcript has 6 exons. The record is from RefSeq and is a predicted model, not a curated record.
CGUCGCCUUUUGUUCUAUUUAGGGCUACAAAGAUAUUUCUCGUUGCCCAUGAAAUAUUAAUCCGUCGCCCAAACCUGCUUUUUUUGUAGUAUCUCUUCCUCUUCCCUGAACAUCGCCUCUGUUCUUCCUCUCCACCAGUGAUUUAUUUCAUUUUUCCGCUCCUCCUCCUCCUUCCCCUUCUCUGCUUCUGCCAUUACCAUCACUGCAAAUUUGAUUCGUUCUUCAAUUUAGGGUUUUCCUGUUUACUUUCUUUCUUAAAUUUGAUUUUCCUUUAAUUAUUUGAGUAUCAUGAGUUCAUUAAGCAGGAGUUUUAGGUUAAUUAUCCUAGUAUUGAAUGAAUUACAAAUUAGGGUUUUCGGUUUUCCGUUUGGGCAAAUUCCUUGGUUUUCCUUGUCAAUUGAGAAAAAAACAUUGUUUGUUCUGUUUUGAGGUGAUGCUAGGAAAAUACGAAUCUGCUUGGUGAUAGGAAAUUACGUAUAUGCACCAUUCUAAGUUAUUUCAUUUUUAUUUUAUCAGGAUUGUGAUAUUUAUCUACUUUAUGAUGUUUUCAGUGUUGUUGAUGCUCAUACUGGAUCAGAAAUAUUCAAGGAGUAAGACGUAAAUCAUAAAGUAACUCCAAGAAAGGUCUAUCGAAAAGCUUAUGUGAGCAAGGAAAAGCUCAUUGAUACGACUCCGAGAACGUUUGAGAAUGUGUAAGAGGAGCUUUGAAGAAUAAAACAAUAAUACUUGUGACAACAUAUAUUUUAGCUUGCCGCAGCAAGAUGGUAUCCCUUUCUCUAUGUCUUCAUGUACAAAUACACUUUUCUUUCAGGUGAUGUUUAGCUUAAACAUAAAUUUUUCUUGUGAAGCCUCUUGAUGAAAAUGUGAAGGCAAAGCUCUGUACGUUUAAUAAAACUCUUUUAUGGUCGUUUUUUUUUUUAAUUAUGUUCUCGCCUUUCUUGAUAAUGAAAACCCUUCAAGGAAACUGUGAUGGCUUCCAAGUCACAAAGAACAAUGUCGAGAAAAUCAUUGACAGGAAAACUCAUCACCUAAGCAGUUGAAAUCCCCUUUAAUCUCACGCGUGUCCUUUUACAGGUUUGUUACUAAAUCUAAGUAUUGUAUUGAUAUAUUAGCAGAUUGUGUAAUCGACAUACAAAUAUGUCAACCUUUGUUUUACAUGAUUUCACUGGAGUGCCAGUUGUUGUUGAUUUGGCUGCAAUGAGGGAUACCAUGAAAAACCUCAACAGUGACCCUAACAAGAUUAAUUAAUCCAUUGGUUUGUUUCCUUUUUAUAUUUAUAAUGAGCAUGAAAAUAAUAAUUCAAUGAUUGUAGCCUAGUAUAAUGCACGAAGUAUAAGCCAUUCAUUGUGCUCGAUAGCAGUUGUGGAUUCUAUUCAAGUCUGUAACGGUCUAACCCAAGAAAGAAAUAGGACCUAUACUACGUACUAUGCUUUGUGCCGUAAACUAGUAUUUAUGCUUUCCUUAUACAUAUUUCAUUUCCUUGAAAAACAUUAAUUAAUAUUAUGUUGUAGGUGAAAUAAAUUCUUUCCUGUAAUCUCAAAUUAACUUUCUUAAUUUUGUAUGACAGGUUCAUGUGUACCUUGUCAUUGAUCAUUGAGUUCAAGUUGAUGUAGCAAGGUUUAAGAACAAUCAUGACAAUCUUUGAAGAUCAUCUCAUACCAUCUCCAAAUCCUGACAGUUGGAAACAGAAUGAGAUUUUUGUUACUGGCUGUGUCAUCAGGGCAUAUCUCCCCUUAGUGACUGUUAUUUUACUGGGUCGUAAAUGACACAUAUUUCUUCCAGAGAUGGUCAUUUUUGGAGAGACUAGGAGUUCUUCUCAUGCCUGCAUUCGCGGUGGCGCAAUUGGUACUCAAAAAUCCGAUGGAGGAGCCUUUUACGAUUGAAGAGAUAAAUGAAGUUCGAGAAAAGUUGGCAAACUUCAUUUCUAGUGAUUUGUCUUUGAUAUUUUGUUGUAGUGAAUUUUAGUAUUGUCUUUGAUAUUUCCUUGUAGUGAAUUUUAGGUUACGGAUGCUAGUUUUUUUUAUGAUUGUAAUGGCCUCGAAUUUUCUACUGUACAAUUUAAUUAUCUAUGUAAUUGGGUACUUUUUAUAUGAUGUAUGGAGGUUUAUUA